This is a long non-coding RNA of Pyrus x bretschneideri (Chinese white pear), 508 nucleotides long. RefSeq lists it as uncharacterized. NCBI's taxonomy places the organism in Eukaryota, Viridiplantae, Streptophyta, Magnoliopsida, Rosales, Rosaceae. The transcript is spliced from 2 exons. The record is from RefSeq and is a predicted model, not a curated record.
UUUGGAGGACUCCAACAUAUCAAGUAUGGAGGGAAUUGAUAGAAGCGAUAUGUCAGAGGUUGGCAAUGAAGAAGUUGACUUUGGACAAACAAAUAUUCACAAUUUUCAACAGUCAGACCAAAGGUAUCGUAGGAGUAAUCAACAAAGGCAAAAUCAUAGGAGCAAUCAACAAAGACAAAGACGACAAUCUAUGAAUUCAUCACAGCGGGCUCGAAAUUCAAUACGACGACGUGCCAAUUAUCAAACCCGCUUGAACUCAAUCAAUAUAGUCCAAAAUCAAACGGAAGUAAACCAAGAAAACAUAGGAUCGACAUCUGCGGUAACUAUGAUUUUUUUUUUUUUUUUUUGUCUCUAUUCAAUUCGUACGUUGUAUUAACAUUUUUGUACAAAUUAUUAAGACAAAUAUAUUAAGAUUGAACAAAUCAGUGAUUCUAAGUUGUCAUUGCCUUUUUGUACUAUCAAUGCAAACAUCCAUUUAAUAAUUCUGUUAUGUCUAUAAUAAUUUCAA